Molecule: transfer RNA, 62 nt
Filed under: Malcus auriculatus
Lineage: Eukaryota; Metazoa; Arthropoda; Insecta; Hemiptera; Malcidae
Description: tRNA-Arg
Source: RNAcentral
AAGUAAAGAAGUAAAAUUUACAUUUAGUUUCGACCUAAAAUUAGAGAUCUUCUCCUUACUUU